ACUCCAUGAUGAAGGAAUUUUGUGAUCAAAUCUUUGAACCCCUCCCAAGCUUCAUAAAGUGAUUCUGAGUCAUGCUACAUAAAAGAAGUAAUAGUAUUCCUAAACUU
Humulus lupulus (European hop) is the source of this 107-nucleotide small nucleolar RNA. Lineage: Eukaryota; Viridiplantae; Streptophyta; Magnoliopsida; Rosales; Cannabaceae. The record is from RefSeq and is a predicted model, not a curated record.